Coregonus clupeaformis (lake whitefish) is the source of this 644-nucleotide long non-coding RNA. RefSeq lists it as uncharacterized. Lineage: Eukaryota; Metazoa; Chordata; Actinopteri; Salmoniformes; Salmonidae. The transcript has 2 exons. The record is from RefSeq and is a predicted model, not a curated record.
GCUUCCCCCAUGCUGUUGUCCUCUUUCAAUAACAGAACACUGCAACCAGGACAGAGAACAGCGCCCCUAUCACUCUGCUAAAACGGUCAUGUUGGGGAUGGGGAGCGCCAGUGGUCUGAAACAAUGGGAGUGCAGAGCAAGGAUUGUGGGGGAAAAUCUUGUCUGGAGCCAGUGAGUCUGGAGCGCCCCUCUGCUCUCUCAUCCAGCUUUUGUUCAGCUGCAACAGCUAUCAGCACUUCCUACUGACACCAACAAUAACUCCACACAGCUGGGCCCUUUUAAUCUUGUUUACUGCACAUCAAGGCGAGGGGGAGGGCCAGGGGAGGGAGACAGAGAAAAGUGAAACAGAUUAGAUCCUGAUUUUAACUGACAGAGAGGAGGUUCUUUCUGUAGUGAUUCACUACAACUGGCUACUACUAAUUGAGGUGUAAAAAUGUUUUCUCGCUCUCUUCUCUCUCACUUCCCUGUUGUUGGAGCCUCCCAGAGUUGUUGUGACACACUGUGGUUUGGAAGCAGUUGGUUGUUUGUUGAAUUAUAUGAAUUGUCUGUGGUGGAAAUGUGGGGAAUUGUGGUCUCUCAACCUCUUUAUUUCUGAUUUUUUUUUUUGACGGAGCAACACCCGGCUGCAGACUGUGGACAGGAAA